GACGAACGCUGGCGGCGUGCCUAAUACAUGCAAGUCGAGCGCUGAAGGUUGGAACUUGUACCGACUGGAUGAGCAGCGAACGGGUGAGUAACGCGUGGGGAAUCUGCCUUUGAGCGGGGGACAACAUUGGGAAACGAAUGCUAAUACCGCAUAAAAACUUUAAACACAAGUUGUAAGUGUGAAAGAUGCAAUUGCAUCACUCAAAGAUGAUCCCGCGUUGUAUUAGCUAGUUGGGGAGGUAAAGGCUCACCAAGGCGAUGAUACAUAGCCGACCUGGGAGGGUGAUCGGCCCCAUUUGGACCUGGGCCCCGCCCCAACCCCUUCGGGGGGCCGCCGUAGGGGAUCUUCGGCCAUGGCCGGAAGGCUGGCCGCGCAACGCCGCGUGAGUGAAGAAGGUUCUCGGAUCGUAAAACUCUGUUGGUAGGGAAGAACGUUGGUGGGAGUGGAAAGCUCAUCAAGUGACGGUAACUACCCAGAAAGCGACGGCUAACUACGUG
RNAcentral lists this ribosomal RNA (497 nucleotides) under uncultured bacterium. RNAcentral's name for it is "partial 16S ribosomal RNA". It matches the Rfam family "Bacterial small subunit ribosomal RNA", at positions 28 to 507 of the family's 1533-position model. The record is from RNAcentral.